CGGAGCAUAGCACAGCUUGGCAGCGCACCUGCUUUGGGAGCAGGGGGUCGUCGGUUCAAAUCCGACUGCUCCGACCA
Molecule: transfer RNA, 77 nt
Filed under: Mailhella sp.
Lineage: Bacteria; Pseudomonadati; Thermodesulfobacteriota; Desulfovibrionia; Desulfovibrionales; Desulfovibrionaceae
Also listed under: 2 other names
Description: tRNA-Pro
Rfam family: tRNA
About the family: Transfer RNA (tRNA) molecules are approximately 80 nucleotides in length.
Source: RNAcentral